RNAcentral lists this ribosomal RNA (361 nucleotides) under Hydrogenispora sp. RNAcentral describes it as "bacterial SSU rRNA". It matches the Rfam family "Bacterial small subunit ribosomal RNA", at positions 1 to 354 of the family's 1533-position model. Lineage: Bacteria; Bacillati; Bacillota. The record is from RNAcentral.
UUUACGGAGAGUUUGAUCCUGGCUCAGGACGAACGCUGGCGGCGUGCUUAAUACAUGCAAGUCGAACGGAGCUUAGCCAGUAGUUUACUGCAGGCGAAAGCUUAGUGGCGGACGGGUGAGUAACGCGUGGGUAAUCUGCCCCUAAGUCUGGGAUAACAGAGCGAAAGUUCUGCUAACACCGGAUAUACUUUCUUUAUCGCAUGGUGAAGGAAGGAAAGGUUACGCUUAGGGAUGAGCCCGCGUCCCAUUAGCUAGUUGGUGAGGUAACAGCUCACCAAGGCGACGAUGGGUAGCCGGCCUGAGAGGGUGGACGGCCACACUGGGACUGAGACACGGCCCAGACUCCUACGGGAGGCAGCAG